UGCGCAACGCGUAUGCAACCAACCCCCCGACUGGCGGAUAGCCGGUGGAAACGCCGGGCAACCCGCCAUGGCGCGGCUCCGGGGGCAUCCCUGGAAUCGCAAAGCGGCGACGCGGUCGGGGACGGGCAUGCGUCCCGAUUAGAUGGUAGGCGGGGUGACGGCCCACCUAGUCGGCGAUGGUAGGGGAUCUGAGAGGACGGUCCCCCACACUGGCACUGAGACACGGGCCAGACUCCUGCGGGAAGCAGCAGUAAGGGAUAUUGGUCAAUGGGCGGAAGCCUGAACCAGCCAAUGCCGCGUGAGGGAAUGAGGCCCUACGGGUCGUGAACCUCUUUUGCACGGGGACAAGGGCGCGGUCGGGAACCGUGCUUGAGGGUACCGUGGGAAUAAGCGUCGGCUAACUCCGUGCCAGCCGCCGC
This 419-nucleotide ribosomal RNA is filed under the name uncultured bacterium. Its description in RNAcentral is "bacterial SSU rRNA". It matches the Rfam family "Bacterial small subunit ribosomal RNA", at positions 107 to 518 of the family's 1533-position model. The record is from RNAcentral.